GGGGUCGCAUCGCCUCGGGAGCUCGGCUGCGGUUUCUGAUUAACUUCGCUGGGGGGCCCGCUGCAGCUCCCCUUUGACACCUGCUCCCCCGGGGGGGGGGGGCGCGCUUCCGUGAACAGCCACUAACAAGCUAGCAAUAGCUUAAUAAAUACUUCCCUUUAGUCUGUGACAAGGCCCAUGGAUAAGGGUUACCUGUGCUCACAGGAAGGAAAGUUUCUGCAGACCCAAACCAGGACAUCCUACCUACACGAGAGAGGCCAGAUCAACAGCACACUCUCAAACAAGCAGGUGGAAGCAAGGAGGACUUGUAGCUGCAAUGCUUUCAGCUCCCAGGACAGAAAGGGUCUACUACUAGCACCAUUAACUGAAGUCUAAGCCGUGGUCUACACUAGGAGUUUAGGUCAAAUUUAGCAGCAUUACAUCAGCGUUAACCCUGCACCCUCCACACAACAAAGCCAUUUUUGUUGACUUAAUGGGCUCUUAAAAUUGAUUUCUGUACUCCUCCCUGAUGAGGGGAUUAGCGCUGAAAUCGACAUCGCUGGGUCGAAUUUGGGGUAGUGUGGACGUAAUUCGAGGGUAUUGGCCUUCAGGAGCUAUCCCAGAGUGCUCCAUUGUGACGCUCUGGACAGCACUCUCAACUCAGAUGCACUGGCCAGGUAGACAGGAAAAGCCCAGCAAACUUUUGAGUUUCAUUUCCUGUUUGGCCAGCGUG
This is a long non-coding RNA of Dermochelys coriacea (leatherback sea turtle), 712 nucleotides long. RefSeq lists it as uncharacterized. The record is from RefSeq and is a predicted model, not a curated record. NCBI's taxonomy places the organism in Eukaryota, Metazoa, Chordata, Testudines, Dermochelyidae. The transcript has 4 exons.